ACCCUUGCAGCAAAAUUCGUUCAGUUAAUUUUCUUUGGAUCUUUCCAUGUUGCACCCUCCAGAUGGAUCACAGGAGCCCAUCCGUCCUGCCUGAAAACCUCGCAACCCCUGAGAAGCAUGUUCAGACGGGUUGAAAAUCAGGGCUAUUUGGGGAUCACGUUUUUAGCGGCUCAGAAGGCAGGAUUUGGUUUGUCCUUCCCCCGUGGGCAGCAGAGGGAGCCCUCGUUCUACACAACGCUGCUCCCAGGAAUAGAUAAUUUCCUCUGCAAACUGGGCAGUUCCAAAUGCAAAAGCAUGAAAGGAUGGACCAAGGUUCUUCAGAAUCAGCUCAAGGUGUGCUGAGAAGGCCCGAGAUGACCCCAGAGAGCUUUGGCUGUUCCACACCCCUGGGAGCUGUUCUGGGAGAGAGGAGUGGAGCAAGACAGAAGGGAAUAUCGGAACUGUAUUAUGAGGAGAGGAAAGCAGGGGAC
Molecule: long non-coding RNA, 470 nt
Filed under: Chloebia gouldiae (Gouldian finch)
Lineage: Eukaryota; Metazoa; Chordata; Aves; Passeriformes; Passeridae
Description: Erythrura gouldiae (Gouldian finch) lncRNA (ENSEGOG00005013482.1)
Source: RNAcentral